GUAGGUGGCAAGCGUUGUCCGGAAUUAUUGGGCGUAAAGCGCGCGCAGGCGGGGUCCUUUAAGUCUGAUGGUGAAAAGCCCGCGGGCUCAACCGUGGAGGGUCAUUGGAAACUGGGGGACUUGAGUACAGAAGAGGAAAGCGGAAUUCCAAGUGUAGCGGUGAAAUGCGUAGAGAUUUGGAGGAACACCAGUGGCGAAGGCGGCUUUCUGGUCUGUAACUGACGCUGAGGCGCGAAAGCGUGGGGAGCAAACAGGAUUAGAUACCCUGGUAGUCCACGCCGUAAACGAUGAGUGCUAAGUGUUAGGGGGUUUCCGCCCCUUAGUGCUGCAGCUAACGCAUUAAGCACUCCGCCUGGGGAGUACGGCCGCAAAGGCUG
This 377-nucleotide ribosomal RNA is filed under the name uncultured organism. Its description in RNAcentral is "partial 16S ribosomal RNA". It matches the Rfam family "Bacterial small subunit ribosomal RNA", at positions 527 to 896 of the family's 1533-position model. The record is from RNAcentral.